CCUACGGGUGGCAGCAGUGAGGAAUAUUGGUCAAUGGACGAGAGUCUGAACCAGCCAAGUAGCGUGAAGGAUGACUGCCCGAUGGAUUGUAAACUGCGGUUAUAAAGGAAUAAAACGAGGCACGUGUGCCUUUUUGCAUGUACCUUAUGAAUAAGGAUCGGCUAACUCCGUGCCAGCAGCCGCGGUAAUACGGAGGAGCCGAGCGUUAUCCGGAUUUAUUGGGUUUAAAGGGAGCGUAGAUGGGUUUUUAAGUCAGUUGUGACAGUUUGCGGCUCAACCGUAAAAUUGCCAUUGAUACUGGCAGUCUUUAGUACAGUUGAGGUAGGCGGACUUCGUGUUGUAGCGG
RNAcentral lists this ribosomal RNA (346 nucleotides) under uncultured bacterium. RNAcentral's name for it is "partial 16S ribosomal RNA". It matches the Rfam family "Bacterial small subunit ribosomal RNA", at positions 338 to 681 of the family's 1533-position model. The record is from RNAcentral.